AACGAACGCUGGCGGCAUGCCUAACACAUGCAAGUCGAACGAGACCUUCGGGUCUAGUGGCGCACGGGUGCGUAACGCGUGGGAACCUGCCCUUAGGUUCGGAAUAACUCCCCGAAAGGGGUGCUAAUACCGGAUAAUGUCUUCGGACCAAAGAUUUAUCGCCUUGGGAUGGGCCCGCGUUGGAUUAGCUAGUUGGUAGGGUAAAAGCCUACCAAGGCGACGAUCCAUAGCUGGUCUGAGAGGAUGAUCAGCCACACUGGGACUGAGACACGGCCCAGACUCCUACGGGAGGCAGCAGUGGGGAAUAUUGGACAAUGGGCGAAAGCCUGAUCCAGCAAUGCCGCGUGAGUGAUGAAGGCCUUAGGGUUGUAAAGCUCUUUUACCCGGGAUGAUAAUGACAGUACCGGGAGAAUAAGCUCCGGCUAACUCCGUG
Molecule: ribosomal RNA, 433 nt
Filed under: uncultured bacterium
Lineage: Bacteria
Description: partial 16S ribosomal RNA
Rfam family: Bacterial small subunit ribosomal RNA
Source: RNAcentral